Aquila chrysaetos chrysaetos is the source of this 2561-nucleotide long non-coding RNA. NCBI's taxonomy places the organism in Eukaryota, Metazoa, Chordata, Aves, Accipitriformes, Accipitridae. The record is from Ensembl.
GGCCGGGCCGGGCGGCGGCGGCGGCGGCGGCGGCGUCGUCGUCAGCGGCGGCAGCGGCAGCAGCGCUCCCCGGCAGCAUGGGCGGCUCUGCCUCCAGCCUGCUGGACGAGAGCAAGUGCACCUACAUCCGAGGAAAAACAGAGGCUGUCAUCAAAAACUUCAGCCCACACUACAGACGCCAGUAUGCCGUGGCUUUCUGCAAGCACGUGCAGGAUGAGCUGGAGCAGCACCGGGAUUCCCAGUCUCGGUUCCUGAAAACCAAGCCUCUGGUGGAAGCUGGGACAGUCUUAUACGAAGCAGAACUGCUUCAUUUUGCUGAGGAUCUGAAGAAGUGGAAGGACAGAUAUGUUGUUAUAAAAAACGACUACACUGUGGAUUGCUUUGAGACUAAAGAGGCCUACCAGAAAGGAGCCAGCCCUAAAUAUCAAGUUCUUCCUGCAGGAGGCAAAGUACUGACUUCAGAAGAAGAUUACAAUUUGCUGUCUGAUAAACAUUUUCCAGAUCCUGUUGGGUCGAGUGAGAAGGAGGUCGCUCAAGCCUUCGUUCAGCUGCCGAGGGAGUUCCCGGUUUACCUGUGGCAGCCCUUCACCCGGCACAGCUACUAUUGCUUCCCAGAGCCAGAAGCUCAGAGGCAGUUCAGCGCUGUGCUGGGCGACUGCGUGAGGCACUCAAACCACGAUUUUCUCAAGCAGACCACGUAUGAAGUCGAGGCAUUCUUAGAAGCCAUUCAGUUCUUCCGGCAGGAGAAAGGCCACUAUGGGAUGUGGGAAAUGAUAACUGGCAACGAAAAAGAGAUCCUGAGCAACCUUGUGAUGGAGGAACUCCUGCCUAACCUUCAGACAAUGAUCCUGCCUAAAAUGAAAGGAAAGAGGAACGAUAGGAAGCGGGCCUGGUUUGGUAUCGUAGAAGAAACUUACGGCUUAGUCCAGCAGCAGGUGUCAGAAGGCUUAAGUACCUUGAAAGAAGAAUGCAGAGAUUUUGCAAAAACUCUGGAAGGAACCAUUCGUUCAGACAUGGAUCAGAUUCUGAACUCCAAGAACUUCUUAGCUGGAAAAAUCAAAGCCACUGUUUCUGAGCCUGCCCAGAAGUGCUGCACAGAAAAUAUCCAGCCAUUUCUCACAUCCAUAUUAGAGGAGCUCAUGGGUCCAGUGAGUUCUGGAUUCACUGAAGUCCGCUCCCUUUUUGAUAAAGAAGUUAAUGAAAUCAUCCAGGACUUCCAGAAGACAAAUGAUAUCACAAAGCUAAAGGAGAACAUGGAUCAGCUCAUGAACCUACCAUUCAACUCUGCGAAAAUGGAGCCCUGCUAUCUGAAAGUGAACCUCCUCCAGGAGCUCUUUCAAGACCUCAAGAAUCGCUUCAAGGUGUAUCACAUUGAUUUUGUGAUUCAGAGGACACAGAACUUCAUGCAAGAGCUGAUGGAAAAUGCAGUUUAUACUUUUGAGCAGUUGUUCUCUCCAAGUCGCCAGGCAGACCCAGCAAAAUUUGCAACAACCAUUGAAAAAGUCAAGCUGAGAGUACUGAAGCAAUAUGAUUAUGACAGCAGCACUAUCCGGAAGAAGAUAUUUCAAGAAGCACUGGUACAGAUUACUUUGCCCACAAUGCAAAAGACACUGGCUUCAACGUGCAAACCGGAGCUGCAGAAAUACGAGCAGUUCAUUUUUGCUGAUUACACUAGCGUGAUCCAAGUAGAGAAUGUGUAUGAAGAGAUUUUAUAUCAGACACUGCUUGAAGAAACCCUGAAAGUGAUAAAAGAAGCUGCCAUUAUGAAGAAGCACAACCUCUUUGAAGAUAACUUGAAUAUGCCCUGUGAAAGCGUGUCCAGCUUAACGGACCUGAAGACCCCUUCAGGAUCAGCACAAACCACUCCCGCAAAGAAACCUUCCACUGCCCGAGCCGAGAUGUCAGACACUGAAACUCAAAGUGAUGAAACACUCAUUGUGACAGAAAAUAUUUCCUGGGAGAAGGAUAGUGAUGAUAGAAAGUCAUCAGACAAAGAGGCAGUCACUGCUGUUAAUAUGGCUGGUCAUCAGGCAAGCAAAAAUGAAGAAGUGGUCAUUACAGACAUCAGUGAGAAACGGGAGUCCCUUUCAGCUACCCUUAGAAAACAAGAAGUUGCAGAGGAAAAAAGUGCUUUGGAGAAUGAAGACACGGUGAAAGCAGAGUUUGUAGCGAACACUGAGAAAGAGCUUAAGACACAGCAAAAAGCUGUGGAGGAAAAAGUAGCUCCUGGGACUGAAACUGCAGUGAAAGAUUUUGGAGCCAGCCCUAAAAAAGAACUUAAGGUACAUAAAGGAGCAGUGGAGGAAAAGGUAACUUCUGAGAAAAGCAAAGCACAGGAAGAAGUUUCUGAGAUAAAGCUGACUUCCCCACAUGAUAACGUAGCAGAAACAGAGAUUUUAGGGAAUGCCAAAAAGAAAAUCAAGAUAGAAAAAGAAAUUAUGGAAGAAAUUUCUUUUUGGUUAAAGCCCUCACUGUUUAAAACCAGGUUAUUGUUGGGGAACCUCAUCUUUCACUUAAAACUUGCUACCUUUUAUGGUUAUAGAAAAAAUCAGAAAAUGUGA